AUUGAACGCUGGCGGCAUGCCUUACACAUGCAAGUCGAACGGUAACGGGCCUUCGGGUGCCGACGAGUGGCGAACGGGUGAGUAAUACAUCGGAACGUGCCCGAUCGUGGGGGAUAACGAGGCGAAAGCUUUGCUAAUACCGCAUACGAUCUACGGAUGAAAGCAGGGGACCGCAAGGCCUUGCGCGGACGGAGCGGCCGAUGGCAGAUUAGGUAGUUGGUGGGAUAAAAGCUUACCAAGCCGACGAUCUGUAGCUGGUCUGAGAGGAUGAUCAGCCACACUGGGACUGAGACACGGCCCAGACUCCUACGGGAGGCAGCAGUGGGGACUUUUGGACAAUGGGCGCAAGCCUGAUCCAGCCAUGCCGCGUGCAGGAUGAAGGCCUUCGGGUUGUAAACUGCUUUUGUACGGAACGAAAAGCCUUCUUUUAAUACAGGAGGGUCAUGACGGUACCGUAAGAAUAAGCACCGGCUAACUACGUG
This 482-nucleotide ribosomal RNA is filed under the name uncultured bacterium. RNAcentral's name for it is "partial 16S ribosomal RNA". It matches the Rfam family "Bacterial small subunit ribosomal RNA", at positions 30 to 507 of the family's 1533-position model. The record is from RNAcentral.